GGGAAGUUGACUCAGUGGUAGAGUGCUUGCCUCGCAUGCAUGAGGCCCUGAGUUCGAUUUCUCAGCCCCA
Molecule: non-coding RNA, 70 nt
Organism: Dipodomys ordii (Ord's kangaroo rat)
Lineage: Eukaryota; Metazoa; Chordata; Mammalia; Rodentia; Heteromyidae
Source: Rfam